This 1110-nucleotide long non-coding RNA is filed under the name Helianthus annuus (common sunflower). Its description in RNAcentral is "hypothetical non coding rna". The record is from RNAcentral. Lineage: Eukaryota; Viridiplantae; Streptophyta; Magnoliopsida; Asterales; Asteraceae.
UCGUAGAUCUUGUAGUCAUUAUCAGAUUUCGUUUGUUUGGGUUUAUAUCAUUCAGUUUGCGUUUUCUGGUGUUUUGUCAAAGAUCUCUGCGAGAUUACCUGUUAUUUUGACACACAUCAACCUUCUCCCUUCUCUAUACCCACGAACCACCACCGUGAAGACCGAACAUCGCCGCCUAUGUUCUGAGCCCGCCGCCACACCACUUGAAUCCGCCAUUAUGUACUACCGCCGGGGGUAGAACGCCGCUCUUUGUUCCUAUCUGUGAGUAUGGCGAAAGCUAAGCUAAGUUCCUAGAUUGAACGUGAGGGACUGAUUUAGGAAGGUUUGCAAAAACAGAAGGGCUGGAUUGUAAAGUGUGCUUCUAUACAAGAUUGCUUUUCAGCUAGGGUUUCAAUUCAGUUUGAUAUGCAUAUUUGUUUUACAUCCCAUCGUCAUCAGCCCUUAGAAUCUGAUCACAAAGUGUUUUGGACUACAUUUAUCUGAACAAGUGGUAGUAGGUAGGUUUGUUGUCAGAGCUUUCACCUCAUCCCACCCCUUUCCUCACAAUUUCAACAUUGCAACAGUACGACGUUUUUCUGAGCUUUAAAUUUGAAAAUCCGAGAAACAGAAAUUAUGCUGCCCAAAAGUUGCUUAACCCACCUAUCUCUUUUCUGAUCCUUACGGUUGAUUCAUAAGUUUUCUCACCGGCAAACAAAGUGUUAAAGCGGGGGUGGUAAAUCCCACCGUGCUUAAGCUUCUUGAGGUGCAUGAUGAUCUCUUCUUUCCUUGGCUUGAACAGCAGUACAGCACCUCCUUCUUCUGAUCAUUAUUUUCAGUUUCGGUGAUUGAUGAUGGGGUAGUGUUGGUUGCUUUUAUGAUCGAUGUUGAUGGGGUAAUGAUGUAGGGUUUUAUGAUCGAUGGAAGCUUUGGGGUAGCAUUCUUCUUUUUGCGUAGAAGAACCCUUGUGAUUUUCAUGGUGGUGGUUUGAACGAUGGGUGAAUCAACUCUAUGUUAUAUACAAAGUUGAGAUGCACGAAAUGGGGAUGAAACUAGCUUUUGUUAAUGUUUGGCAUUAGCCAUAUGUUAUAUACAAAGUUGAGAUGCACGAAAUGGGGAUGAAACUAGCUUUUG